This is a non-coding RNA of Schizosaccharomyces pombe (fission yeast), 1356 nucleotides long. NCBI's taxonomy places the organism in Eukaryota, Fungi, Ascomycota, Schizosaccharomycetes, Schizosaccharomycetales, Schizosaccharomycetaceae. The record is from the annotation of a GenBank genome assembly.
GACGUGCCUUGUAGCUACCAAAAGUUCUCUUCGAGUCUGAUAUAAUUCGGAAGGACAGUCCAUGAACAAUUGCAAGGUACAUAUUGGGAUCGAGCUUUCAAACUGUUUAAGAGCAGCACCAAAACUUCUCAAUAAAUAGGCGAGAAAAGAGAAUGAUUUAAUUUGCGCAGAAAUAAGGUCAUUGUAAAGAUGAUUUCGACGCAAAGAAGGGACUACACCAAUAAAAACCUCUUUUUGAGAUUCUGCAAGUCGACGAGCUUCGGCUUGAGGUGGAGGACGAAGUGAGAUAAAUUGAAGUACAAGCGGAGCAAGUAAAGGAAGCAUUUUCGGAAUAAGAUCUUUGUAUGUUUGAAAUAGGAGAAAGACGAUAAUGGGAAAUUCAGCAGUGACCUUGAAACUCGAAGAAGCUUUUGGGAUCAUUUUUGGACCUGCAUGUUCCAUUCCAAUUUCAGCAGGAGAUGCAGAAGAUGCAGCAGACAUGGGAUGAGAGGAUGGAGUAUUCGGAGCUGAUCUAGGUGGGAAAGCUUCUGAAACAACUGUGGUCAUGGAUUUGUAGUUUUCAACGACAAUGGAUAAAAAUUCCUGAACAUGUCCCUUAGCAAGGCUACUGUGGUCCUUAAAAAGAAGGACAACAAGCUUCAAUGCCAACACUGCCAUCUCUUCAUUAUCAUUAACGACUAUACGAAGAAGCACGGCAAAAGUCCGAUUAACGAAUGCUUCAAAACCUUUAUAGGAUCCAGAUUUCUUGAGCAAUUCAAGCAAUGCAAUGCGUAAACGAUGUGUAGCUGCUAACGAUGAAAAUACAGGACGUUCCUUUUCAAGCAAAGACAACGUGUCCUCCAAAAGAGGAAUGAAAGUUUCAAAAUUCGUCUUUUCAGUUACCAACACAUCAUCCAGUGCAUCUCGAAUUUCAAUUGCUGUGUUUGCCUUUUGCUUCGAGUCUAAUCCAACAUCACAAAGCCGAUUAUGCCAAUGUUCGCAUUGUGAUACAUCCAUCAGAUGCUUGGAUCUCUGCGCAAGCUCUUUUUUAAAUUCCAAUUGCACUCGGAUACGUUUUCCUAAGUAUUUAACAAUUACUAUUGGAAUGUUGUGGGAUAGAGCAAGCUGCAUUUCUUUCCUCUAAAUCACUUUAUGAAUUUUACAUGUUUUCGCUAUUUUAAUUAACGGCCUUAUUAUUUUGUGCGGUAGAAGUUGCUAAAAUGAUGAACGAGAUAAAAAUAGCGAGUGAUACCACAAAAGUUCGUUUAGCCUCAGCUGCAUAAUUUGUCGUAAACAAACCAUUCAUUCAUUAAUCUGUUCAUUACCAUUUUUAGGCUACCUUUUAGUCAGUGAUCUUUAAUAUAUCUUACCGAUUAG